RNAcentral lists this ribosomal RNA (392 nucleotides) under uncultured bacterium. Its description in RNAcentral is "partial 16S ribosomal RNA". It matches the Rfam family "Bacterial small subunit ribosomal RNA", at positions 523 to 918 of the family's 1533-position model. The record is from RNAcentral.
AUACGGAGGAUCCGAGCGUUAUCCGGAUUUAUUGGGUUUAAAGGGUGCGCAGGCGGCCAUUUAAGUCAGCGGUUAAAUCGUGGGGCUCAACCCCAUUCUGCCGUUGAUACUGGGGGGCUUGAUUGCGGUCGAGGUUGGCGGAAUUCGUUGUGUAGCGGUGAAAUGCAUAGAUAUGACGAAGAACACCGAUUGCGUAGGCAGCUGACCAGAUCGCAAAUGACGCUCAUGCACGAAAGUGCGGGGAUCGAACAGGAUUAGAUACCCUGGUAGUCCGCACAGUAAACGAUGAAUACUUGUUUUCGGCGAUAUAAUGUCGGAGGCAAAGCGAAAGCGAUAAGUAUUCCACCUGGGGAGUACGCCGGCAACGGUGAAACUCAAAGGAAUUGACGGGG